RNAcentral lists this unclassified non-coding RNA (265 nucleotides) under Hypocreales sp. RNAcentral describes it as "partial contains 5.8S ribosomal RNA, internal transcribed spacer 2, and large subunit ribosomal RNA". Lineage: Eukaryota; Fungi; Ascomycota; Sordariomycetes; Hypocreales. The record is from RNAcentral.
CGCACAUUGCGCCCACCAGUAUUCUGGUGGGCAUGCCUGUCUGAGCGUCAUUUCAACCCUCGCACCCGGCGUCUGUCGGGGGCGGUGUUGGGGAUCGGCCCCCCUGGAAACAGGGGGCCGUCCCCUAAAUCGAGUGGCGACCACGCCGUAGCCUCCUCUGCGUAGUACUUACACCUCGCGGGCGGAGAGCGGUGCGGUCCGCCGUAAAACCCCCAACUCUUCUCAGGUUGACCUCAGAUCAGGUAGGAAUACCCGCUGAACUUAA